RNAcentral lists this ribosomal RNA (1025 nucleotides) under Salmonella enterica. RNAcentral's name for it is "partial 23S ribosomal RNA". It matches the Rfam family "Bacterial large subunit ribosomal RNA", at positions 830 to 1772 of the family's 2925-position model. The record is from RNAcentral. Lineage: Bacteria; Pseudomonadati; Pseudomonadota; Gammaproteobacteria; Enterobacterales; Enterobacteriaceae.
CAAUCAAACCGGGAGAUAGCUGGUUCUCCCCGAAAGCUAUUUAGGUAGCGCCUCGUGAAUUCAUCUCCGGGGGUAGAGCACUGUUUCGGCUAGGGGGCCAUCCCGGCUUACCAACCCGAUGCAAACUGCGAAUACCGGAGAAUGUUAUCACGGGAGACACACGGCGGGUGCUAACGUCCGUCGUGAAGAGGGAAACAACCCAGACCGCCAGCUAAGGUCCCAAAGUCAUGGUUAAGUGGGAAACGAUGUGGGAAGGCCCAGACAGCCAGGAUGUUGGCUUAGAAGCAGCCAUCAUUUAAAGAAAGCGUAAUAGCUCACUGGUCGAGUCGGCCUGCGCGGAAGAUGUAACGGGGCUAAACCAUGCACCGAAGCUGCGGCAGCGAACGUAUCACCCAAGACAACUUUACGGAGUUGACGAUUGACGGAGCGAAGCGACGUCAAAGCGUUCAUUAAAGUCGAGUUGGCUUAGGGAUACGUUCGUUGGGUAGGGGAGCGUUCUGUAAGCCUGUGAAGGUGUGUCGUGAGGCAUGCUGGAGGUAUCAGAAGUGCGAAUGCUGACAUAAGUAACGAUAAAGCGGGUGAAAAGCCCGCUCGCCGGAAGACCAAGGGUUCCUGUCCAACGUUAAUCGGGGCAGGGUGAGUCGACCCCUAAGGCGAGGCCGAAAGGCGUAGUCGAUGGGAAACGGGUUAAUAUUCCCGUACUUGGUGUUACUGCGAAGGGGGGACGGAGAAGGCUAUGUUGGCCGGGCGACGGUUGUCCCGGUUUAAGCGUGUAGGUGUGUGUUCCAGGUAAAUCCGGUUCACUUUAACACUGAGGCGUGAUGACGAGGCACUACGGUGCUGAAGCAACAAAUGCCCUGCUUCCAGGAAAAGCCUCUAAGCAUCAGGUAACAUCAAAUCGUACCCCAAACCGACACAGGUGGUCAGGUAGAGAAUACCAAGGCGCUUGAGAGAACUCGGGUGAAGGAACUAGGCAAAAUGGUGCCGUAACUUCGGGAGAAGGCACGCUGACACGUAGGUGAAGU